GUGAAACAGAAGACCCACCCUGGGCUUCAUACCUUCACAUCCAAACACUGUGCAAUGCCUGGGUGAAAGCACCUCUUUGUGGGUGUCUACUAGCCCCUUUUUUUUUCAUACAAACACAAGUAACUGUAUGUGUUAUGUCAUAACAAGUA
This 149-nucleotide unclassified non-coding RNA is filed under the name uncultured fungus. RNAcentral's name for it is "sequence contains ITS1, 5.8S rRNA gene". The record is from RNAcentral. Lineage: Eukaryota; Fungi.